AAAACAUAGCCCUCUGAAUACAUAAAGGGUCCCGCCUGCCCAGUGGAUAAAUCUAAACGGCCGCGGUAUUUUAACCGUGCAAAGGUAGCAUAAUCACUUGCUCUUUAAAUGAGAACUUGUAUGAAUGGCAUUACAUUUUUUAACUGUCUCCUUUUCUUACUUUUUAAACUUCUACUUACGUGAAGAAGCGUAAAUAAAACAGAUAGACGAGAAGACCCUGUCGAGCUUCAGCUAAAACUAGACAACUAUAAAUCUUAAAGAAACUAUUAAAUCUAGAAAAAGCUUUGGUUGGGGUAACCAUGGAGAAAAAAAAUCCUCCAGAAAAUAAGAAGAAAACACUUCACUUAACUUAUAACAAAGAACCAGAAUACUGGUAAACGGAAAAAGUUACCGCAGGGAUAACAGCGUUAUCUUCUCUCAGAGUUCAUAUUGACGAGAAGGUUUGCGACCUCGAUGUUGGAUUAGGAUAACCUAAAGGUGCAACAGCUUUUAACGGUUGGACUGUUCGUCCAUUAAAACCCUACG
RNAcentral lists this ribosomal RNA (525 nucleotides) under Gephyrothuria alcocki. RNAcentral describes it as "partial 16S ribosomal RNA". It matches the Rfam family "Bacterial large subunit ribosomal RNA", at positions 1810 to 2600 of the family's 2925-position model. The record is from RNAcentral. Lineage: Eukaryota; Metazoa; Echinodermata; Holothuroidea; Molpadida; Gephyrothuriidae.